CUGAAGGCCACUGGAGUACAGGCAGGUUUUGUCCUUGGCUUCAGCUCUGGAACCCGCAGUUUUGGUACCUGAUCAGUUACUAACUUUAGGCAGAAGCCUUUUGUGAUAACGUGACAGAGAGACCAGGUUCUUCCUCACACAGCUGUACGCUCUGUUUGCCGUUUCAGCACCCCUCCAUCAGAAUCCAGAGGGUUCUUAUAUAUUGUGUGUACCUGAUGGAGAUUGGAGCUCAUUCGAGUGAAAAAGCUGAAGUUGAUUCUAUUCAACUUAUUACGUGUUGCUCACUUUAUACUUUUUCUGGAGGAAGAGGAAAAGAACAACUGAUUGCCCUUGAUGCUGUGACUUACUCUACAAUUGUUUAAAUGGAACGCAUUUUGAAAAUCUAGUUUCUCCACACCGGCCUGGUGAGUGACUUGUGGUUCU
RNAcentral lists this long non-coding RNA (423 nucleotides) under Aotus nancymaae (Ma's night monkey). Its description in RNAcentral is "lncRNA (ENSANAG00000038623.1)". Lineage: Eukaryota; Metazoa; Chordata; Mammalia; Primates; Aotidae. The record is from RNAcentral.